GUAGGGAAUAUUGGGCAAUGGAGGCAACUCUGACCCAGCCAUGCCGCGUGCAGGAUGACGGCCCUCUGGGUUGUAAACUGCUUUUAUACGGGAAGAAAAAAUACUACGUGUAGUAUACUGACGGUACCGUAAGAAUAAGGAUCGGCUAACUCCGUGCCAGCAGCCGCGGUAAUACGGAGGAUCCAAGCGUUGUCCGGAUUUAUUGGGUUUAAAGGGUGCGUAGGCGGAUCUUUAAGUCAGUGGUGAAAGCCUGCAGCUUAACUGUAGAAUUGCCAUUGAAACUGAAGAUCUUGAAUGUGGUUAAAGUAGGCGGAAUGUAUCAUGUAGCGGUGAAAUGCUUAGAUAUGAUACAGAACACCGAUAGCGAAGGCAGCUUGCUGAACCAUUAUUGACGCUGAGGCACGAAAGCGUGGGGAGCGAACAGGAUUAGAAACCCGUGUAGUCC
Molecule: ribosomal RNA, 445 nt
Filed under: uncultured bacterium
Lineage: Bacteria
Description: bacterial SSU rRNA
Rfam family: Bacterial small subunit ribosomal RNA
Source: RNAcentral